Molecule: transfer RNA, 71 nt
Filed under: Phyllophorella liuwutiensis
Lineage: Eukaryota; Metazoa; Echinodermata; Holothuroidea; Dendrochirotida; Phyllophoridae
Description: tRNA-Leu
Rfam family: tRNA
About the family: Transfer RNA (tRNA) molecules are approximately 80 nucleotides in length.
Source: RNAcentral
ACCUUAAUAGCAAAGUGGUAAUGCUGGGGUCCUAAGAACCUCAAUAAAAAGUUCAACUCUUUUUUAAGGUG